Molecule: ribosomal RNA, 2919 nt
Filed under: Staphylococcus aureus subsp. aureus CIG1114
Lineage: Bacteria; Bacillati; Bacillota; Bacilli; Caryophanales; Staphylococcaceae
Description: bacterial LSU rRNA
Rfam family: Bacterial large subunit ribosomal RNA
Source: RNAcentral
UAAGUUAUUAAGGGCGCACGGUGGAUGCCUUGGCACUAGAAGCCAAUGAAGGACGUUACUAACGACGAUAUGCUUUGGGGAGCUGUAAGUAAGCUUUGAUCCAGAGAUUUCCGAAUGGGGAAACCCAGCAUGAGUUAUGUCAUGUUAUCGAUAUGUGAAUACAUAGCAUAUCAGAAGGCACACCCGGAGAACUGAAACAUCUUAGUACCCGGAGGAAGAGAAAGAAAAUUCGAUUCCCUUAGUAGCGGCGAGCGAAACGGGAAGAGCCCAAACCAACAAGCUUGCUUGUUGGGGUUGUAGGACACUCUAUACGGAGUUACAAAGGACGACAUUAGACGAAUCAUCUGGAAAGAUGAAUCAAAGAAGGUAAUAAUCCUGUAGUCGAAAAUGUUGUCUCUCUUGAGUGGAUCCUGAGUACGACGGAGCACGUGAAAUUCCGUCGGAAUCUGGGAGGACCAUCUCCUAAGGCUAAAUACUCUCUAGUGACCGAUAGUGAACCAGUACCGUGAGGGAAAGGUGAAAAGCACCCCGGAAGGGGAGUGAAAUAGAACCUGAAACCGUGUGCUUACAAGUAGUCAGAGCCCGUUAAUGGGUGAUGGCGUGCCUUUUGUAGAAUGAACCGGCGAGUUACGAUUUGAUGCAAGGUUAAGCAGUAAAUGUGGAGCCGUAGCGAAAGCGAGUCUGAAUAGGGCGUUUAGUAUUUGGUCGUAGACCCGAAACCAGGUGAUCUACCCUUGGUCAGGUUGAAGUUCAGGUAACACUGAAUGGAGGACCGAACCGACUUACGUUGAAAAGUGAGCGGAUGAACUGAGGGUAGCGGAGAAAUUCCAAUCGAACCUGGAGAUAGCUGGUUCUCUCCGAAAUAGCUUUAGGGCUAGCCUCAAGUGAUGAUUAUUGGAGGUAGAGCACUGUUUGGACGAGGGGCCCCUCUCGGGUUACCGAAUUCAGACAAACUCCGAAUGCCAAUUAAUUUAACUUGGGAGUCAGAACAUGGGUGAUAAGGUCCGUGUUCGAAAGGGAAACAGCCCAGACCACCAGCUAAGGUCCCAAAAUAUAUGUUAAGUGGAAAAGGAUGUGGCGUUGCCCAGACAACUAGGAUGUUGGCUUAGAAGCAGCCAUCAUUUAAAGAGUGCGUAAUAGCUCACUAGUCGAGUGACACUGCGCCGAAAAUGUACCGGGGCUAAACAUAUUACCGAAGCUGUGGAUUGUCCUUUGGACAAUGGUAGGAGAGCGUUCUAAGGGCGUUGAAGCAUGAUCGUAAGGACAUGUGGAGCGCUUAGAAGUGAGAAUGCCGGUGUGAGUAGCGAAAGACGGGUGAGAAUCCCGUCCACCGAUUGACUAAGGUUUCCAGAGGAAGGCUCGUCCGCUCUGGGUUAGUCGGGUCCUAAGCUGAGGCCGACAGGCGUAGGCGAUGGAUAACAGGUUGAUAUUCCUGUACCACCUAUAAUCGUUUUAAUCGAUGGGGGGACGCAGUAGGAUAGGCGAAGCGUGCGAUUGGAUUGCACGUCUAAGCAGUAAGGCUGAGUAUUAGGCAAAUCCGGUACUCGUUAAGGCUGAGCUGUGAUGGGGAGAAGACAUUGUGUCUUCGAGUCGUUGAUUUCACACUGCCGAGAAAAGCCUCUAGAUAGAAAAUAGGUGCCCGUACCGCAAACCGACACAGGUAGUCAAGAUGAGAAUUCUAAGGUGAGCGAGCGAACUCUCGUUAAGGAACUCGGCAAAAUGACCCCGUAACUUCGGGAGAAGGGGUGCUCUUUAGGGUUAACGCUCAGAAGAGCCGCAGUGAAUAGGCCCAAGCGACUGUUUAUCAAAAACACAGGUCUCUGCUAAACCGUAAGGUGAUGUAUAGGGGCUGACGCCUGCCCGGUGCUGGAAGGUUAAGAGGAGUGGUUAGCUUCUGCGAAGCUACGAAUCGAAGCCCCAGUAAACGGCGGCCGUAACUAUAACGGUCCUAAGGUAGCGAAAUUCCUUGUCGGGUAAGUUCCGACCCGCACGAAAGGCGUAACGAUUUGGGCACUGUCUCAACGAGAGACUCGGUGAAAUCAUAGUACCUGUGAAGAUGCAGGUUACCCGCGACAGGACGGAAAGACCCCGUGGAGCUUUACUGUAGCCUGAUAUUGAAAUUCGGCACAGCUUGUACAGGAUAGGUAGGAGCCUUUGAAACGUGAGCGCUAGCUUACGUGGAGGCGCUGGUGGGAUACUACCCUAGCUGUGUUGGCUUUCUAACCCGCACCACUUAUCGUGGUGGGAGACAGUGUCAGGCGGGCAGUUUGACUGGGGCGGUCGCCUCCUAAAAGGUAACGGAGGCGCUCAAAGGUUCCCUCAGAAUGGUUGGAAAUCAUUCAUAGAGUGUAAAGGCAUAAGGGAGCUUGACUGCGAGACCUACAAGUCGAGCAGGGUCGAAAGACGGACUUAGUGAUCCGGUGGUUCCGCAUGGAAGGGCCAUCGCUCAACGGAUAAAAGCUACCCCGGGGAUAACAGGCUUAUCUCCCCCAAGAGUUCACAUCGACGGGGAGGUUUGGCACCUCGAUGUCGGCUCAUCGCAUCCUGGGGCUGUAGUCGGUCCCAAGGGUUGGGCUGUUCGCCCAUUAAAGCGGUACGCGAGCUGGGUUCAGAACGUCGUGAGACAGUUCGGUCCCUAUCCGUCGUGGGCGUAGGAAAUUUGAGAGGAGCUGUCCUUAGUACGAGAGGACCGGGAUGGACAUACCUCUGGUGUACCAGUUGUCGUGCCAACGGCAUAGCUGGGUAGCUAUGUGUGGACGGGAUAAGUGCUGAAAGCAUCUAAGCAUGAAGCCCCCCUCAAGAUGAGAUUUCCCAACUUCGGUUAUAAGAUCCCUCAAAGAUGAUGAGGUUAAUAGGUUCGAGGUGGAAGCAUGGUGACAUGUGGAGCUGACGAAUACUAAUCGAUCGAAGACUUAAUCA